UACGGGAGGCAGCAGUGGGGAAUAUUGGACAAUGGGCGCAAGCCUGAUCCAGCCAUACCGCGUGGGUGAAGAAGGCCUUCGGGUUGUAAAGCCCUUUUGUUGGGAAAGAAAAGCAGUCGAUUAAUACUCGGUUGUUCUGACGGUACCCAAAGAAUAAGCACCGGCUAACUUCGUGCCAGCAGCCGCGGUAAU
RNAcentral lists this ribosomal RNA (192 nucleotides) under uncultured rumen bacterium. RNAcentral's name for it is "partial 16S ribosomal RNA". It matches the Rfam family "Bacterial small subunit ribosomal RNA", at positions 340 to 524 of the family's 1533-position model. The record is from RNAcentral.